RNAcentral lists this long non-coding RNA (318 nucleotides) under Mus musculus (house mouse). RNAcentral describes it as "long non-coding RNA chr4:123435616-123435934". Lineage: Eukaryota; Metazoa; Chordata; Mammalia; Rodentia; Muridae. The record is from RNAcentral.
AUGGAAAACUAGAACUUGUCAAGUGAUGAACAGCAAGAUGGGAAUGCUUCAGAAUUGGACCUUAUUGAAGAACAGAAUCCAGUAGCACAUGAUGAUGGGAAUGCAAAUCCUGAAGAAAUAGUUGGAGAUACAUGAUCUCCAGUACAAAAUAUUCUGUAAUAAUUUGAAGGUGACAUUAACAAGACACUUCACAUAAAGAGAAAAUGCAUGGAAACUUAUAUCAAAGAUUCUUUCAAAGGCAGCAACCAGAAAUUAGAACAACUUUGGAAAAUGAACAAACGGGAGAGAAAGAAGAUCAACAACAAAUUUUGUAUAUAA